AAUUUUGUAGUUAAUAUAAAUAUAACAUUAGAAUGCAAUUCUAAAGUAAUAAUUAAAUUUAUUAAAAUUU
Molecule: transfer RNA, 70 nt
Filed under: Allantus luctifer
Lineage: Eukaryota; Metazoa; Arthropoda; Insecta; Hymenoptera; Tenthredinidae
Description: tRNA-Cys
Source: RNAcentral